RNAcentral lists this ribosomal RNA (447 nucleotides) under uncultured bacterium. RNAcentral's name for it is "bacterial SSU rRNA". It matches the Rfam family "Bacterial small subunit ribosomal RNA", at positions 355 to 825 of the family's 1533-position model. The record is from RNAcentral.
UCGGGAAUUUUGGGCAAUGGGGGAAACCCUGACCCAGCAACGCCGCGUGAAGGAUGAAGUAUUUCGGUAUGUAAACUUCGAAAGAAUAGGAAGAAUAAAUGACGGUACUAUUUAUAAGGUCCGGCUAACUACGUGCCAGCAGCCGCGGUAAUACGUAGGGACCAAGCGUUGUUCGGAUUUACUGGGCGUAAAGGGCGCGUAGGCGGCAUGACAAGUCACUUGUGAAAUCUCUGGGCUUAACCCAGAACGGCCAAGUGAUACUGUCGCGCUAGAGUGCAGAAGGGGCAAUCGGAAUUCUUGGUGUAGCGGUGAAAUGCGUAGAUAUCAAGAGGAACACCUGAGGUGAAGACGGGUUGCUGGGCUGACACUGACGCUGAGGCGCGAAAGCCAGGGGAGCAAACGGGAUUAGAUACCCUAGUAGUCCCUGAGCGGGCUGGCAAGGCGCAU